AGAGUUUGAUCCUGGCUCAGGAUGAACGCUGGCGGCGUGCCUAACACAUGCAAGUCGAACGAAGCACUGUGACCGGAGAUUCGUCGAAGGUUACUUUGACUUAGUGGCGGACGGGCGAGUAAUGUGUGAGCAACCUGCCUUUCAGAGGGGGACAACAGCUGGAAACGGCUGCUAAUACCGCAUAACGUGCAUUGGAGGCAUCUUCGAUGCACCAAAGGAGUAAUCCGCUGAAAGAUGGGCUCAUAUCUGAUUAGUUAGUUGGUGAGGUAACGGCUCACCAAGACUGCGAUCAGUAGCCGGACUGAGAGGUUGAACGGCCACAUUGGGACUGAGAUACGGCCCAGACUCCUACGGGAGGCAGCAGUGGGGAAUAUUGGGCAAUGGGCGAAAGCCUGACCCAGCAACGCCGCGUGAAGGAAGAAGGUCUUCGGAUUGUAAACUUCUUUUAUGAGGGACGAAGGACGUGACGGUACCUCAUGAAUAAGCCACGGCUAACUACGUGCCAGCAGCCGCGGUAAUACGGAGGAUGCAAGCGUUAUCCGGAUUUAUUGGGUUUAAAGGGUGCGUAGGCGGAUGAUUAAGUCAGUGGUGAAAGGUCCCGGCUCAACCGGGGAGCUGCCAUUGAUACUGGUUGUCUUGAAUGCGGAUGCCGUGGGAGGAAUGUGUGGUGUAGCGGUGAAAUGCAUAGAUAUCACACAGAACACCGAUUGCGAAGGCAUCUCACGAAUCCGUUAUUGACGCUGAGGCACAAAAGCGUGGGGGAUCAAACAGGAUUAGAUACCCUGGUAGUCCACGCAGUAAAACGAUGAUGGCUAACCGCCGGGCGAAUACACAGUCGGUGGCCAAGCGGAAGCGAUAAGCCAUCCACCUGGGGAGUACGACCGCAAGGUUGAAACUCAAAGGAAUUGACGGGGGCCCGCACAAGCGGUGGAGCAUGUGGUUUAAUUCGAUGAUACGCGAGGAGCCUUACCCGGGUUAGAACGCGCGGCGGCGGGGUCCGAGAGGGCUCUUUCCUUCGGGACGCUGCGCGAGGUGCUGCAUGGUUGUCGUCAGCUCGUGCCGUGAGGUGUCGGGUUAAGUCCCAUAACGAGCGCAACCCCUACCGACAGUUGCCAUCGGGUGAAGCCGGGCACUCUGUCGGGACUGCCCGCGCAAGCGGAGAGGAGGGCGGGGAUGACGUCAAAUCAGCACGGCCCUUACGUCCGGGGCGACACACGUGCUACAAUGGCCGGUACAGAGGGGGGCUGUCCCGCGAGGGUCGGCGGAUCCGGAAAAGCCGGUCUCAGUUCGGAUCGGAGUCUGCAACCCGACUCCGUGAAGCUGGAAUCGCUAGUAAUCGCGCAUCAGCCAUGGCGCGGUGAAUACGUUCCCGGGCCUUGCACUCACCGCCGGUCA
This 1395-nucleotide ribosomal RNA is filed under the name uncultured bacterium. RNAcentral's name for it is "bacterial SSU rRNA". It matches the Rfam family "Bacterial small subunit ribosomal RNA". The record is from RNAcentral.